RNAcentral lists this long non-coding RNA (1164 nucleotides) under Oryctolagus cuniculus (rabbit). Its description in RNAcentral is "lncRNA (ENSOCUG00000032735.1)". Lineage: Eukaryota; Metazoa; Chordata; Mammalia; Lagomorpha; Leporidae. The record is from RNAcentral.
UAUCCACAUACAUUUUCUCAUUAGAAAGGGAAUAUUCUCUAUCAUAGAAGGUUUUACAAGACAGUUUUUCUUUUUUAAAGAUUUAUUUUAUUUAUUUGAAAGAGUUACAGAGAGAGGUAGAGACAAAGAGAGAGGUCUUCCAUCCACGGGUUCACUCCUCAGAUGGCUGCAAUGGCCAGAGCUGCACCGAUCCAAAGCCAGGAGCCAGGAGCUUCUUCCAGGUCUCCCACGCGGAUGCAGGGGCCCAGGGACUUGGGCCAUCUUCCACUGCUAUCCCAGGCCACAGCAGAGAGCUGGUUCAGAAGAGGAGCAGCCGGAACUAGAACCUUUGCCCAUUUGGAAUGCCGGUGCUUCAGGCCAGGGCUUUAACCUGCUGUGCCACAGCGCCAGCCCCAGUUUUUCAAUUUUCACAUUUACUUAUAGACAAGACAAAGGGACUUUUUCUCCCCUCAAAAUCUAGUUUUUCUGUCAUUAAAAACAUUUAUUGUGGGCUUGCUAAGGUCAGAACUUAAAAUAAUGAUCUAAUCAUCAUAGCAAUUCCCUUUCACAGGUAACAAAGCAGAAAAGCCAGGAUGUCAUGGUGGCAGCAGCUCCUGAAAGCCUGGGCUCCUAAUUUUCUCCUCUAAAUGCCUGUGCCAGGUGCUCUAACAGAGCAUGGAAGAACUAUUGGGAACAGAUGCUAUACCAUUUACUAUAUUCUCACCUUUUCUUACCCCCCCCCCCCCCCAACCACACCCUCCAAAGUGAAAAUACUCCAAUUAACGGUUGCAAAUAUGUACUGGGAUAGGGUAGGUUUCAGAAUUGAGAGUGGUUGCAGAAGUAAUGUCUGGCUGUAUAUGGCAUGUUUGGACCCUGGUUCAGCCAGCUCAGAAUGCCUGGUUAAAGGUGGAACAUGGAAUAAUAUAUAGCCCUACCUCCCAUUGGCCUGGGGUUGUUUCUAUCCCAAAACUCCUACACAACAAACCACAACUUAAAAUUGUCUUGUAACUAAUUAACUUGAAUGGUGCUUCAACCAAUAACAGCCAAUUAAUAGACUGGGUAUAUACUUAGGGAUCUCCCAUUAAACCAUAUGCAAAAAAGGGAAAUGCCCAGUGAUAAUCAGUCAAGCACAGUUGGUCAGUAGUAUCCACAGGGAUUUCUUCCAAGCCCCCUACUCUGUCUUCC